RNAcentral lists this ribosomal RNA (874 nucleotides) under uncultured bacterium. RNAcentral describes it as "bacterial SSU rRNA". It matches the Rfam family "Bacterial small subunit ribosomal RNA", at positions 622 to 1505 of the family's 1533-position model. The record is from RNAcentral.
AGCCGUUGAAACUGGUGCCUUGAGUGGGCGAGAAGUAUGCGGAAUGCGUGGUGUAGCGGUGAAAUGCAUAGAUAUCACGCAGAACUCCGAUUGCGAAGGCAGCAUACCGGCGCUCAACUGACGCUCAUGCACGAAAGUGUGGGUAUCGAACAGGAUUAGAUACCCUGGUAGUCCACACAGUAAACGAUGAAUACUAAUUGUUCGGGGAGAAUGAUCCCUGAGUGAUACAGCGAAAGCGUUAAGUAUUCCACCUGGGGAGUACGCCGGCAACGGUGAAACUCAAAGGAGUUGACGGGGGCCCGCACAAGCGGAGGAACAUGUGGUUUAAUUCGAUGAUACGCGAGGAACCUUACCCGGGCUCAAACGACACAGGAAUACUUUUGAAAGGAGGUAGCUCUACGGAGUCUGUGUCGAGGUGCUGCAUGGUUGUCGUCAGCUCGUGCCGUGAGGUGUCGGCUUAAGUGCCAUAACGAGCGCAACCCCCAUCGCCAGUUACCAGCAAGUCAAGUUGGGGACUCUGGCGAGACUGCCGGCGCAAGCUGUGAGGAAGGCGGGGAUGACGUCAAAUCAGCACGGCCCUUACGUCCGGGGCGACACACGUGUUACAAUGGCAGGUACAGAGAGAAGCAAUGCGGCGACGCAAAGCGGAACUUGAAAGCCUGUCUCAGUUCGGAUUGGAGUCUGCAACUCGACUCCAUGAAGCUGGAUUCGCUAGUAAUCGCGCAUCAGCCAUGGCGCGGUGAAUACGUUCCCGGGCCUUGUACACACCGCCCGUCAAGCCAUGGAAGCCGGGAGUGCCUGAAGUGUGCAACCGCAAGGAGCGCCCUAAGGUAAAACUGGUGACUGGGGCUAAGUCGUAACAAGGUAGCCGUAA